This 738-nucleotide ribosomal RNA is filed under the name uncultured organism. RNAcentral's name for it is "bacterial SSU rRNA". It matches the Rfam family "Bacterial small subunit ribosomal RNA", at positions 757 to 1510 of the family's 1533-position model. The record is from RNAcentral.
AAGCUAGGGGAGCGAACAGGAUUAGAGCCUGGUAGUCCUAGCUGUAAACGCUGGGUGCUAGGUGUGGGACGUAGAAGUUCCGUGCCGGAGCAAACGCGAUAAGCACCCCGCUGGGAAUUACGGUCGCAAGGCUAAAACUCAAACGAAUUGACGGGGCCCCGCACAAGCAGCGGAGCGUGUGGUUCAAUUCGAUGCUACACGAAGAACCUUACCUGGGUUUGACAUGUACGUGGUACGAAGGCGAAAGCCUAAGGACCCUUCGGGGAGCGUACACAGGUGCUGCAUGGCUGUCGUCAGCUCGUGCCGUGAGGUGUCGGGUUAAGUCCCGUAACGAGCGCAACCCUUGCCCUUAGUUACAAGUGUCUAAGGGGACUGCCGGCGGGAAGCCGGAGGAAGGUGGGGAUGACGUCAAGUCAGCAUGGCCCUUAUGUCCAGGGCUACACACACGCUACAAUGGUCAGUACAAAGGGUAGCGAAGUCGCGAGGCGGAGCGAAUCUCAACAAAGCUGAUCGUAGUUCGGAUUGCAGGCUGCAACCCGCCUGCAUGAAGCUGGAGUUGCUAGUAACCGCGCGUCAGCCAUAGUGCGGUGAAUACGUACCCGGGGCUUGUACACACCGCCCGUCACGUCAUGGGAGUCGGUAACGCCUGAAGCCGGUAGUCCGGCCCGCAAGGGGGGACGCUGUCGAAGGCGGGACUGGCAACUGGGACGAAGUCGUAACAAGGUAACCAAGGGCGAA